UGGGGAAUUUUGGACAAUGGGGCAACCCUGAUCCAGCAAUGCCGCGUGUGUGAAGAAGGCCUUCGGGUUGUAAAGCACUUUUGUCCGGAAAGAAAACGCCGUGGUUAAUACCCGUGGCGGAUGACGGUACCGGAAGAAUAAGCACCGGCUAACUACGUGCCAGCAGCCGCGGUAAUACGUAGGGUGCAAGCGUUAAUCGGAAUUACUGGGCGUAAAGCGUGCGCAGGCGGUCCGCUAAGACAGAUGUAAAAUCCCCGGGCUUAACCUGGGAACUGCAUUUGUGACUGGCGGGCUAGAGUAUGGCAGAGGGGGGUAGAAUUCCACGUGUAGCAGUGAAAUGCGUAGAGAUGUGGAGGAAUACCGAUGGCGAAGGCAGCCCCCUGGGCCAAUACUGACGCUCAUGCAAGAACGCAGUGGGGAGCAAACAGGAUUAGAUACCCUGGUAGUCCACGCCCUAAACGAUGUCAACUAGUUGUCGGGUCUUCAUUGACUUGGUAACGUAGCUAACGCGUGAAGUUGACCGCCUGGGGAGUACGGUCGCAAGAUU
Molecule: ribosomal RNA, 547 nt
Filed under: uncultured bacterium
Lineage: Bacteria
Description: partial 16S ribosomal RNA
Rfam family: Bacterial small subunit ribosomal RNA
Source: RNAcentral